UAAGUGCUGUAAUGCCAUCGAUCAGGCG
This 28-nucleotide small RNA is filed under the name Bombyx mori (domestic silkworm). Its description in RNAcentral is "ovarian small RNA-19432". The record is from RNAcentral. Lineage: Eukaryota; Metazoa; Arthropoda; Insecta; Lepidoptera; Bombycidae.